Molecule: ribosomal RNA, 500 nt
Filed under: uncultured bacterium
Lineage: Bacteria
Description: bacterial SSU rRNA
Rfam family: Bacterial small subunit ribosomal RNA
Source: RNAcentral
GACGAACGCUGGCGGCGUGCCUAACACAUGCAAGUCGAGCGGAGUCGAUCGACGGAAGCCUUCGGGCGGAAGAUGGUUGACUUAGCGGCGGAUGGGUGAGUAACGCGUGGGCAACCUGCCUCGAAGACCGGGAUAACAGCCCGAAAGGGCUGCUAAUACCGGAUGUGGUCAAGGAUCCGCAUGGAUUUUUGAUUAAAGGGGAAACCCGUUUCGAGAUGGGCCCGCGUCCUAUCAGCUAGUUGGUGAGGUAAAAGCUCACCAAGGCGACGAUCUGUAGCUGGUCUGAGAGGACGACCAGCCACACUGGAACUGAGACACGGUCCAGACUCCUACGGGAGGCAGCAGUGGGGAAUUUUGGACAAUGGGCGCAAGCCUGAUCCAGCAAUGCCGCGUGCAGGAUGAAGGCCUUCGGGUUGUAAACUUCUUUACUAUGCGACUAACUAGAUUUACGAGAUAAUUCUAUAGAAUGUAGCAUAGCAAAAGACACCGGCUAACUACCG